GAUUUUCGUGAGCGGCUCUACACUUGGGUAAGGAAUAACGUAGAGAAAUUUGCGCUAAUACCUUAUAACGACUCCGGUCCAAAGAUUUAUCGCCCAGGAAUGAGCCCGCGCUAGAUUAGGUUGUUGGUGGGGUAAUGGCCUACCAAGCCUACGAUCUAUAGCUGGUCUUAGAGGAUGAUCAGCCACACUGGUACUGAGACACGGACCAGACUCCUACGGGAGGCAGCAGUGAGGAAUAUUGCGCAAUGGAGGAAACUCUGACGCAGCCAUGCCGCGUGAGUGAAGAAGGCCCUAGGGUUGUAAAGCUCUUUCAGAUGCGAAGAUAAUGACGGUAACAUCAGAAGAAGCCCCGGCUAAAUUCGUGCCAGCAGCCGCGGUAAUACGAAUGGGGCGAGCGUUGUUCGGAAUCACUGGGCGUAAAGCGUAUGUAGGCGGACUUGAAAGUCAGAAGUGAAAUCCCGGGGCUCAACCCCGGAACUGCUUUUGAAACUCCUAGUCUCGAAUCCCGGAGGGGUCAGCGGAAUUCCGAGUGUAGAGGUGAAAUUCGCAGAUAUUCGGAGGAACACCAGUGGCGUAGGCGACUGACUGGACGGGCAUUGACGCUGAGAUACGAAAGCGUGGGGAGCAAACAGGAUUAGAUACCCUGGUAGUCCACGCCGUAAACGAUGUGUGCUAGUUGUCGGGUCUUAAAGAUUCGGUGACGCCGCUAACGCAUUAAGCACACCGCCUGGGGAGUACGGUCGCAAGAUUAAAACUCAAAGGAAUUGACGGGGACCCGCACAAGCGGUGGAGCAUGUUGUUUAA
This 804-nucleotide ribosomal RNA is filed under the name uncultured bacterium. RNAcentral describes it as "bacterial SSU rRNA". It matches the Rfam family "Bacterial small subunit ribosomal RNA", at positions 110 to 949 of the family's 1533-position model. The record is from RNAcentral.